Molecule: ribosomal RNA, 302 nt
Filed under: uncultured bacterium
Lineage: Bacteria
Description: bacterial SSU rRNA
Rfam family: Bacterial small subunit ribosomal RNA
Source: RNAcentral
AGGAAAUAGAUACCCCGGGUAGUCCACGCUGUAAACGGUGAGUGCUGGACGUUGGCGGGUUUACCUGCCGGUGUCGCAGCUAAACGCGUUAAAGCACUCCGCCUGGGGAGUACGGCCGCAAGGUUAAAACUCAAAGGAAUUGACGGGGCCCGCACAAGCGGUGGAGCAUGUGGUUUAAUUCGACGCAACGCGCAGAACCUUACCAGCCCUUGACAUGGGCGGACGGGGUUCCAGAGAUGGACUCUUUCUCGCAAGAGACCGCUACACAGGUGCUGCAUGGCUGUCGUCAGCUCGUGUCGUGA